GGAGAGAUGGCAGAGCGGUUGAACGCGCUACCUUGGAAAGGUAGUAUACGCGCAAGCGUAUCGGGGGUUCGAAUCCCCCUCUCUCCG
RNAcentral lists this transfer RNA (87 nucleotides) under Minisyncoccota bacterium. Its description in RNAcentral is "tRNA-Ser". It matches the Rfam family "tRNA". Rfam says of the family: Transfer RNA (tRNA) molecules are approximately 80 nucleotides in length. Their secondary structure includes four short double-helical elements and three loops (D, anti-codon, and T loops). Further hydrogen bonds mediate the characteristic L-shaped molecular structure. tRNAs have two regions of fundamental functional importance: the anti-codon, which is responsible for specific mRNA codon recognition, and the 3' end, to which the tRNAs corresponding amino acid is attached (by aminoacyl-tRNA synthetases). tRNAs cope with the degeneracy of the genetic code in two manners: having more than one tRNA (with a specific anti-codon) for a particular amino acid; and 'wobble' base-pairing, i.e. permitting non-standard base-pairing at the 3rd anti-codon position. Lineage: Bacteria; Bacillati; Minisyncoccota. The record is from RNAcentral.